Molecule: long non-coding RNA, 3036 nt
Organism: Cuculus canorus (common cuckoo)
Lineage: Eukaryota; Metazoa; Chordata; Aves; Cuculiformes; Cuculidae
Exons: 3
Source: RefSeq, a predicted model, not a curated record
GGCUUAUGUUGUGUGCUUGUGUCAGUGUGGGCUUGCUUACAGUGCAAGCAGCUACCGACCCACUUUCAGGAAGUCCUGUAGCUGCGGGAGAACUCUACGCAUUGAGAGAAUUAUGAAAAGUGAUAACCAGUCAAUACGGUGCUAGAGGAGGAUGCCACAUGGACAGCUGAUGUCUGUCAGUAGCUAGCUUGGGGACUGAGAAUGAAUUAUUCAGAGAAGAACCAGAGCUCCUGAGUGAUUCUGGAUCACUACAGAUUCAACUCUACAAUGAGCCUCAAAAGAUGAUUUGUCCCAUCUUUCUUCCCCAAGGACAGUUGACUUCUCUAUCAGCAAUUAACAAGCAGAUGAUUGUGGAACAUUUUAUUAAUACUAUUAGUGAUGGAGAUUCCAGAGGCUCUUCAAGCUAUUAUUCCAGUGUUUCACCACCCCAACAACGGAAAGUUUCUCCUUGUGUUUUAUCCAAACCCACUGAUAAACUGAAGAACUGUGAGCCCUUAUACUAUUAGCAUGGGUAACUAUGUUCUUUUUAUUGUUUCCAUUAAUAUGUUGCAUAGAAGAUAGUUCCAAUAGUAGUAAAAAGACUUUGCAGGUUUUUUAUUUUCUCACAUCUUUUUUGUUGGAAGAGCGUCUUUAGUAGAUUUGAGCUUUAUAACUAUUGAUCUAUUAAACUGUUUGCACUGUGUUACUAUGAUAAAAAUUGAAGGAAAUAAUGCACUUUUUUGUCAGGUGGCUACAUAUAGUAGGUUAAGCAAGACUUCUGAGCUCUGGGGACUAAGUGGGUGCUGGUCAUGUACGAGUCUUCUCUUGGCUGUCCUAUGAUUGCUUGGUGACCUGCAAAAAGCACUUAUCUCUAUCUCUUAGACACUUGUACAGCUAAUGUGAUAAUAUCAGGAAACUUCAUUUUUCAGUGCGUUGAGAAGAGAGAUUUUAUUAAUGACACUAUAAUUAUAACUGGGUUUGUUUCUCAAUUUUUUACAUUAUUUAUUAAAAUAAAAUAAGACUAUUUAUUCAAAGCGUUAUUUCUAUUUUGUAACUUACCAUUUUCUGGGUUUUGCCAUUAAGCAUUAAGAAUUUCCAUGCUAAUGGAGUUGCUUAGGUACUUGGAAAGUUUUCCUGGACCAGCUAAUUUCUCGUUGACAAUUUACAUGUGUCUUAUUGGGUUCUUAACUUAUGAGCUGUUAUUAUUGUGAUUAGUUCACUCUAGGCUUUUGGUAAAGUUAAUCAGGGGAAACUAUGUCUGUGGUUACAGAGAAGAGCUUAUAUAUGCCUGAUGGAGUGCCACAGUGGACAACUUGUUUUCCAAAUACGAGAAUAAACAUAGCUCUAAGGAGCUCACAUUCUCAGCUAAUGCAAGAGGUGAUAAACAAGACACCACAAACUUCUGUCGGAUGAGCAAAAGUGAAUCACUUUCAAAGCCUGCAGUUAUAUAAGAGGGGUGGGGGACAGGAAGGGGCCAAUAAAUUGACUCCAAAAAUGCAAAAUUAAUCAUUAUAUUGGAAAACACUAGAAAUUUGAAGAGUGAUCUCCUGUCUGACGUGAAGCUGCAGAAGCUGCUUGUUCUUGAAACAAUUAAGUAGUGCCCCGGAAUGUGUGGGAAAAGAAUUACCAAGGUUGACCAAAAUGUCUGAUUUAUAUUUCCCCAAAAUUUGUUAUUAUGUCCUUAAAACUGUGGUCCAUGGGAGAUGAUUUGAUAACAGUGUUCUAACGCUCUGCAAGAGAUUUGGAAACUGGAGGAUGAUUAUCUGUAACCAGCAGACAGUGGAGCGCCUCCAGAUUGACAGCAAUGCAGUUAACAAUCAGAAUGUAGUCCAGUAUAUAUGUGUGAGCAAUGUCUUUUCAAAAAAAUGUAACACAGUAAUGGUUUGUAAGAAAGGUAAUACUUUUUCCUUGAUGCUUGAAAAAUAAUAACAAAAAAGGAUGGUUUGAAAGACAUAAGCAAAAUAAGUACAUUCAAAACACCAAUAUAGCUAAUUUAAGAAUACGUAUUGUCUUCUUCUUACAUCUCUGGGAGAAACCAGAAAUAAUUAAUUCAAGUGAAGUAUGGCGCUCUCAUAAAUUUCCAACAAUUCACAACAGUAACAUUCAUUUUCUAUUGAUGACAGCUAACAAAGAUCUUGGCAGUGAGGUUUUUCAUGUGGAAUGAGGGCUAGGAGUAUCUGAUAAGGUUGAAAAAUGUGUUUUAAGAAAAUAGGUUUCAGUUAACUUAGUAAAUCCCUCCCCGGCAAGACCCCUAAACUGUCCCCAAGGACCACUGAGACCCUCAAAUUCCCCUGAAUGGCCCAUGGGACCCCCUUGAGACACCCAGAUGACAUAUAUUGACCCCCAAUUCCCCCCAGGAUCCCCAGAUGCCCCACAGGGACCCCAAAUACCCUGGGACCCUCAAAUUACCCUGGGAAACCAAAUCCCCCCCAGAUGCCCCAUAAGGACCCCAAAUCCCUGACUGCUAAAUGUUUUUUUCACCAGUUUUACACUACCAGUUAGGUGGAGACAGACCCAAGUCAAUGAGACUUCACAUGCCGAAGAGAUCUUUGGCCACAAUCCUUUCGAAAAGACCAGUCAAAAUAAUAGUAGCCAUGCUGUAUGUAUUUUUGUCUUUCCUGAGCUUUCUUUAGCACAUCACAUGGCAUACCUGACAUUGAUGUAAAGAAGUGGUUGGAUUACAGAUCUCCUGAGGUCCCUUCUAACCUGAAUGAUAUACAAACUAAUAAGCCCAAAAAUGUUGAAGACUUGUUCUUUUCAUAUAUGCUACUUCACACCAAACAGAAAUGUAGUCUUAGAUUUUACAAUAAAGUUCACAUCACUAAUAGUUAAUAUUUAGCAGCUGUUUAUUUUUUAAUCAAUUGCAAAUAACUGUAAUCAUGUACAAAAUGUUCUGGAUUAUGACCAAGACCAGCUGGACAAGAUAUUGUUUGCAUAUAAUACCAGUAUAUGUUCAAAUAAUAUGUUUAGAAUACCAUCUACUUUUGUCAUUACUUCUUUUAAUUAAUAUAUCUCUCUAUAAGGAAAUUACAAAUAAAGUAUGAACGUUUGAGUUUC